Molecule: ribosomal RNA, 253 nt
Filed under: uncultured bacterium
Lineage: Bacteria
Description: partial 16S ribosomal RNA
Rfam family: Bacterial small subunit ribosomal RNA
Source: RNAcentral
GGCGAACCGUGCGAACGUUGUUCGGAUUCACUGGGCUUAAAGGGCGCGUAGGCGGGCGACCAAGUCGGGGGUGAAAUCUUUCGGCCCAACCGGAAAAGUGCCCCCGAUACUGGCCGCCUCGAGGGGGGUAGGGGCAUGCGGAACUUCCGGUGGAGCGGUGAAAUGCGUAGAUAUCGGAAGGAACGCCGGUGGCGAAAGCGGCGUGCUGGACCACUUCUGACGCUGAGGCGCGAAAGCCAGGGGAGCAAACGGG